RNAcentral lists this ribosomal RNA (202 nucleotides) under uncultured organism. Its description in RNAcentral is "partial 16S ribosomal RNA". It matches the Rfam family "Bacterial small subunit ribosomal RNA", at positions 355 to 574 of the family's 1533-position model. The record is from RNAcentral.
UAACGAAUCUUCCGCAAUGCACGAAAGUGUGACGGAGCGACGCCGCGUGUAGGACGAAGCCCUUCGGGGUGUAAACUACUGUCAGGGGAAAGAAAGUACUGAUCUACCCCAGAGGAAGGCACGGCUAACUUCGUGCCAGCAGCCGCGGUAAGACGAACCGUGCAAACGUUGUUCGGAAUCACUGGGCUUAAAGGGCGCGUAG